GGACGAACGCUGGCGGCGUGCUUAACACAUGCAAGUCGAACGGAGUGAAGGGGAGCUUGCUCCUUGGAACUUAGUGGCAAACGGGUGAGUAACGCGUAGGCAACCUGCCCUUCAGAUGGGGACAACAUUUCGAAAGGAAUGCUAAUACCGAAUGACGUGCAUUGGCCGCAUGACCGAUGUACCAAAGGCCGGGCAACCGGUCACUGAAGGAUGGGCCUGCGUCUGAUUAGCUAGUUGGUGGGGUAACGGCCCACCAAGGCGACGAUCAGUAGCCGGUCUGAGAGGAUGAACGGCCACAUUGGGACUGAGACACGGCCCAAACUCCUACGGGAGGCAGCAGUGGGGAAUAUUGCACAAUGGGGGAAACCCUGAUGCAGCCGACGCCGCGUGAGUGAAGAAGUAUUUCGGUAUGUAAAGCUCUAUCAGCAGGAAAGAAAAUGACGGUACCUGACUAAGAAGCCCCGGCUAACUACGUGCCAGCAGCUGC
This 487-nucleotide ribosomal RNA is filed under the name uncultured bacterium. RNAcentral describes it as "bacterial SSU rRNA". It matches the Rfam family "Bacterial small subunit ribosomal RNA", at positions 27 to 518 of the family's 1533-position model. The record is from RNAcentral.